UUCAAUGAGGUGAUUUCUUGAUUCUCUUUAAAUUAAAUCUCAAUCUUUGUUAUAACUAGUUAUAUAAUUAUUAAUUAAUUAAUUUGUGUAUGUAUUGUUGUUAGAUUAUGAAAUUGUUGAAGGCAUGCAUGACGUCCCCAACUCCAUUGUCGGACGUCAUCCUGAAUAAAACAACACACUUGAAGUCUGCAGAGGUUCCAUUGCACGAGAUGGUAGUAAAGGAAGAAAACACCAACACUAUGAGUUUGAAAGUUACCAUACAAAAAUCGACAGGUAAGUUGCUGUAUGCUCAAGCUAAAGAAGAUUUUAUCGAGUUUCUAUUUGGUUUCUUCAACAUCCCACUAGGAGGAGUUGGGCAUCUUCUGGCUGGCAAGACUCGUGUGAAGGCUAUAAACAACUUGUAUCUGAGCACAGAUGACCAUGUAAACGACGAGUAUUUCAAAACCUCGGUUAUGAAAAGAAGGCUAUUGGAACCCAAUGUGGUUCAUGGAUGCAUUUCUGAAAACAACAUUCUUCGCCUUACUGAAGAACCUUUGCCUGUUGACUACACACGCUAUAACGACUAUUUUUCUUCAGUGAAGUUUCCCAAAGGGAAAGGGAGGUGUCUUGAGCGACCAGCAACUUAUAAGGUGACAGAUGAUUUAACUGUGACCCCUUUUUGCACUGUCUCCAUUCUUUCCACUCUCAAUAGCUUGAAAAUCCCAAUAACUGAUGUCCAAGAAAUGGAGCUGCAAAUCGGAUUGAAAGAGGUAUAUAAUACAAUUUUAAAUAUGUGAUUAUGUUUUGUAGCAUGUGUUGAGAUGAAGUUUGUUGGUGCAGGGCUUGAGCAUACUGAAAGCUUCUCUUACAUCCACUUCUGCUCUCACAGAUUCUCUCCUCAGUCAUAAAUCGAGCAAGAAACCGAAGAAAGAACUCUCAGGCUGAUCCUUGGUUGCAACUAUUACAAAUAGUAUUAAUUAGCAACUAUGGUGCUUAUGUUUGUUUUUUGUUUCUGUAGAAAGCAUACUCUUGAAAGUUAUACAACUAAAAUCGAACUGUCAAAUGGAAUUUUUCCAAUUUAAAAUGUCGAAAAAUUCAUUGACAAUGCUACCUCGCUAACAAAAUCAGAGCAAUCCACAACUAAAAAUAACUACUGAAACUUGAAAUAGUUUACACUAUAAGAUUUUCUUUUUCAUUUCUUGGAAUCCCACACCAUGUCCUACUAUCAAAACUAUCUGACAUUUAAAAAAAAAUCAUGUUUAUAUUCCAAAAAUUAUUAUUUCUCACACCCGAAGAUGACGUGGCAUAUCUGAUGUGGCCUAAAUAUUUGAAAGCUAUAGUGAAUAAAGAGAAUCUUGAAGAAGCAAUAUCUGAUUUGAAUCUCUGAAUAUCUAGUUGUCAUGUUUUCUGGUUAUUAUCUAUUUUUUGCUAUUCUCGUUUUAUGUUUUGUGGUAUAUGCAUAUUAAGAGCAUCCCUUACAUCUGAUUAUGAUUCUGCUUGGCAUUAUCAUAAAAUAUGAUGCACAAAAAAUCUCUCUUUUGUAAGAUCAAUUUUCAUUUGAUUGGAUAUUUAGAGGGUGUUUGGCUAAGCUUAUUUUAAAGAGCUUAUAAGCUCUUGGAGCUUAUAAGAUGUUUCAAGAGCUUAUAAGAUGUAGUUUUCUAAGAACUUAUAAGUUGUCAAAGUGUUUGGAUAAUUGAGCUUAUAAGCUAGAGAGAGAAUUUUUUUCUAGAGAGAGAAAAUAUUUUUCUAGAGAGAGAAAAUCGAAGAGAAAUGAACUUAAAUGAUAUAUGAUGAAAAUAAUAAAUUAUAGUUGAAAAAUAUUUGUAAAAUAAUUAUUACAUAUGAGAUUAUAAAAAAAUAAGUUGGGGUAGAGGAACUUAUUUAUUUGGGAAGCUUAUAAGUUCUUGGAGCUUAUUUUUGGAACUUAUAAGUUAUUUAUGAGCUUAUUUUAUCAAAUACUUUGAAAGAGCUUAUAAGCUCCUAAACAGUUCAUAAGCUGUUUUGAAGAGCUUAUAGGCUAAGAGCUUAUAAGCUCAGCCAAACACCCUCUUAGUCUAGUUCUUGUAUUGUGAGCAUUCAGUAUGAAAUAGUGAUUAAAUUAUGAAAUUACAUUGUGAAACGAACAAUUUGAGCAUACAAAAAGUGAAAUAGUUUUAAAAUGAUGACUGGAAAAACAAGAACCAUAGUUAAAACAACAUAAAAGCACAAUGCAAAGCUAUGAAUUUAAGCCAACAAUGUCACAUUUAUGAGCAGCAAAACAAGAUCUAAAAGCAUGGAUCACACUCAGACUUCUCUCUUUGGUUGUUUGAUUGAUAUGUGACUCAAUAGAGCAUCAGAAAGAGCAGAAGUGGAUGUAAGAGAGGCUUUCAGUAUGCCCAAAGCCUGCACAAAAGAAAGCAAUCUCAACAUGUAAACAUAUGCUCAAAAAUAUAGUACCAACAGAUAUUUACCUCUUUCAACCCGAUUUCAAGCUCCACUUCUUUGACAUCAGAUAUCGAGAUUUUCUGCUCUUUGAGAGAGGAAAACAUGGAGACAAUACAUAAAGGUGUAACAGUUAAAUCAUCCGCCACGUGAUAAAUUUGAGGCCCCGUAAGAUAACUUCCCUUGCCAUUGGGAAACUUAAUAGAAGAAAACCAAUUUAUAUUAUCAAUGUAGACAGCAGGCAAGCAUUCUUCAGUGAGGGGGAAAAUGUAGUUUCCAGAAAUACAACCAUGAACCAGAUUGGGUUUCAUUAGCCUGUUUUUCGUAUCCGGGCUCUUGGGAUACUUGUCAAUAAGAUCAGCUGAGCUCCGAUACAAGUUGUCUAUAGCCUUAAUACAAGUCUUGCCGGCCACAACGUGCUCAGCUCCACCUAGUGGAAUAUGAAGGAGACCAAAUAGAAACUCUAUAAACUCUUCCUUAGCUUGAGCAUACAAAAACUUACCACUAGAUUUCUGUAUCAUCACUUUCAAACUUAACUUCUUAAAGUUGGGAUUUUCUUCCAUUGCAACAUUCUGCAGUAGUGGUGGAGAUUCCAAGAUUGAAGUGUUGAUCUGUCUUGUUUUUUUUAGGAUGACAUCCGACAGUGGAGUUGGGGACGUCAAGGAUGUCAUCAACAAGUUCAUAAUCUAACAAAAAUACACACAAAAUCAAACAAGUAAUAAGAAAAGAAGCUGUGAGAAAGAUAGAGAAUCAAGAAUCACCUCAUUGAACCCUAAAUCCACAUUGAUGAGCUCAGCCUUAUCCAUGUCUGUAAUACCAAGAGAGACGACGAUACCUACAAUCCCCGUCUCGUUUGGCAGUAUCUGCAGAUCAUCAGAGAUUAUGAAUGAUGCUUUAUGUAUGGUGAAAACUCCAUCUCUAGAAGCAGCUUUAGGCCCUUUUUCAUCUAGUACUACUUUCUCCAACUUACGAUAACAGUUCCAAAUAGGGCAAACUGUAAUAGUAUCAUAGUAAAUGCUCACACUACGAAAUCUUUUAGAGUGAACGCUACAAGAAAAAUAUUGAGCAGGUUGAAAAUCAGUGAUAUCGAGUUUCAGCCCCGCGUACUUGUCUUCGAAUGAACUAGUUGGAUUGAGCAGAGCCUGCUUAGCACCCUCAGUCACAAAAUGGGAGCCAACUUCAAGAUUUGCUACGCUUCGGUACAAAUUGCUUAAGCUUCCAAUGGUGGGUGCCUCAACUGAUCCAUAGUGCUUCUCGAGGACUUUCACAAUUCUUCCCAACGGCAAAGUCAAGAAGCUCAACAAAAUGUCUACAAAAUGGCUGUCAGCUUGUGCAAAGAGUACCCUAGUUUUCUCUUUAUUUAUCAUCACUUUCAAUGAGAACUCUGCAUCUUUAGCAUCAUCCAUUCUCGAGGUCCUACAAAUCAAGAAAAUUCCGAUUGACGAUAUUUAGAUCAAGCACAAGUACAUUGUCUCACUAAAUCUGAAAACUUCAAUUAUUAUGCAAGUAAAGGUAGAUCUUCACUAUGCCGAAAAGAUGUUCAUAUAUGUCUGCUGCAUCAAUAAGACUACAAUAAAAUUUCUUGCAUGCGUGUGCUGAUUUAGCGGUAAAGUAGUUAACGUUUGAGGCAUUUAGGCUCAAGUUCGAGUACACCGUGACACGGUCUUGUAAAAUAUUCCAAUCUCCUCCUCAAAAAAAAUCUUGAGCUAAAAAAUAAUUCCAUAAUAUACAUGAUAUACCUCAACAGAAAAUAAACAUAAAGGUGAGGUCUAAUAACUAAAAUAUUUAAACUUGAAUUUGAUACAGAAGUCGUCACUGCACUAAUUAGUUUAUAUGUGUAUUGAUCUAAUAGUAGAAUAUAAUUAAUGUUUGAGGUUAAAGGUAUCAAGAUUGCUAUUUGGACAUAAUAUGUUCAUAUAUAAAAUGGUCAAAUAUAUAAAAAUCGAUCAAUUUAAAAAUUUUGGCUCAAAAUAAAAAAGGAUUAAUUUAGUUAAUUAAAAAUAAAGACAGCUACAAUGUGAACAAAAUUUUAAAACUAGCUAAUUUUUUUUUUUAUUUUUUUAAAUCGAAAAUUUUAAAUUAAUUCUAUUUUGUAUAUAUUUGUUAAGUUCGAAUCCCCUGCCAAAUGAUCUUUAAAAUUAUUUAUUCAUGGACCCAAAAAAACCCAUUUUUUCGUCAAAUUCUGUCAUUAUUCAAAACCAAAAUCUAGUUUCCUGAGAGUCCAAUUAAAUCCUUCAUAAAGACUAAAAGAAGCUCGAAUUAAACAUCUCUUACUCGGGUAAUUCUAUCUAUAUCAAAGCCUAUUUUUCAGAAAAAAUUAAAAUUUAGUGUAUUUUAUUUCAAAUUUUAAAGAUUGCGAGCAAAAUCAAAAUCCGUCUAAAUUUUAUGUAUUUUGCGGCAAUUUACGCAUAAACAUAGUAGUAAUUAACUAAUUAAUAAUCAAUUAAAAAUAGGCACAGUGUGAACAAGAGAUGAAUAAGUCAAGAAUUACCUGAUUUCCAAUCUAUAAAAUUGGGGAUUUUCAGAGAAAAAGACAGAUUUUCAAGUCAACCCAGAAGAAAACAUGUUGUUGGAUGAGGGUGGCUGAGCUCGCGGCGGAGGAAGGGUGGCUGCGACGGUGGUUUUGAGCGGCUAAAAGUGAAGAGAGGAGUGGAUAGAUGAGUGAGAGAGAAGCACUGGCAUUAUUUGGCUACUAAAGCAAAAUGGAGCGCAAACAGUUGAGCUAUGCCAUUGGCGAAUCUUUGCUUUUUCACUUUUUUUUUAACUUCUUUUUCUGUUUUUCAACUUUUUCUUUUCCAUGUUUUUGGUUUGUCGGUUUCACAAAAAGUACUAUUGCAUGACUUUAUUUGACGCAAUUGUAAUUUAAUAUGUUUGAACAAAAAAGUACUAGUUAAAUACUUUAACAAAUAUAUUUAUUUAAAACUUUUGAUUAAAAAAAUAGUUAUUUUUAUUAUUUUCUCCAUAUUUUAUUUUAUAAUUUUUAAUAUUUUAUUUAAAAAUUGUUAUUUUUAAAGAGCAUAAAAAUUACAAAUAAAAAGUAAAAAUUAAAAUAGCACCUUAGAUUUCUCUCUAUUGAUCAUCACUUUCAACGAAAACGUAGCAUUCUUGUUCUUGUUUUUCUCAGACAUUUUGGUGGAGGCGAAGAUUUUUCUACAAUUCUAUUUUCUUAUUUGUGAAACAUCAACCUUUCAAGUUCCACCAUAUUAAUAUUAUUUGUAUCUCAUAAAGAGGGUGAAUGCAGAGAGUCUCGGAAUUGGUAGGACUAAUGACUCUUAGGUUAACUUCUUCCCCAUAAAAAGGGAGGGUUUGGUGUUAAGAAGGAUGUCAAGUUGUCGUUGAAAGUGAUGAUAAAUAUAGAGAGAAAUGAGGUACACAAUAUAUAUUUCGAAUUUUUACUCCAAUAACAUUUACGAUAAUUCUUAUUUCAACAAACAAAUAAUAGUUACUCCAUCUCAUAUAUUGUGCAACUUAAAUUUUUUGAUACUCAUAUAUUAUUAAAUAAUUAAUUAAAUUUUAAAUAUAAACCAGUUAGGUCAUCUAGCUGCUUAAUUCGAAGCUAGCUACUGCAUAGAGUUUAAUUUGAUUUUGUAUCUAAUAUAAAGAGCGAAUGCAGAGAGUCUUGGAAUUUGGUGGGACUAUGUUACUCCAAUAGCAUUUGCAUAAUGGAAAAAGAUCCAAAUGAAUGGAAAAACCAAGAUCCAUAAUUUAAAAUAAAAAUGAAGCAGCAUAUUGCUAUUAAAAUAAGCAGAAAAACAAUACUAUUUGGAAUUGGAGCAUGGAUCGCAGUCAGACUUUUUCUCUCUUAGGUCGUUUGAGUGAUUUGCGAGUCAUCAGAGCAUCAGUGAGAGCAGUAGAAGAAGUAAGAGAGGCUUUCAGUAUGCUUAAAGCCUGCACCAACACAAUUCAUCUCAUCAACAUCUAAUUACAUACAUUCAGAAAUAUAUAAGAUUUCAAAUGAUACAGGUUACCUCUUUCAGCCCGAUUUGCAUCUCCACUUCUUUGACAUCAGAUAUCGAGAUUUCCUGCUCUUUAAGUGAGGAAAGUGUCGAGGCAAAGCAGAAAGGCGUAACAGUUAAAUCAUCGGCCACGUGAUAAGUUGGAGAUCCUUUAAGAUAACUUCCCUGCCCAUUGGGAAACUUAACAGAAGAAAAAUUGUAUUUACGAUCAUAGUCAGCAGGCAAGGAUUCUUCAGUGAGGGGGAAAAUGUAGUCUUUCGAAACAUAGCCAUGAGGUAGAGUGGGAUUCAUUAGCCUCUUUUUCGUAUCCGGGGUAAUGAAAUGCUUGCUAUCUAUAACGUCGGAUGUGUUCCGGUACAAGUUGUCUAUAGCCUUAACACAAGUGCUACCGGCAAGAAGAUGCUCAACUCCUCCAAGUGGGAUGUAGAGGAAACUAAACAGAAACUCUACAAACUGUUUAUUAGCUUGAGCAUACACAACCUUACCAGUAGAUUGUUGUAUCAUCACUUUCAAACUUAAAUUCCUAGAGUUAUUGGGAUUCUCUUCGUCUCCACUGUGUGGUUGAGACACCAUGAGUGUAGAGUAAAUCAGCUGUGUUGUUUUAUUUAGGAUGAUGUCCGACAAUGGAGUUGGGGACGUCAAGGAUGCCUUCAACAAAUUCAUAACCUAAUAGAAAUUAAGAGAUAACAAGUUAAAGAAAAUUUAGUGGGAGAUAUAAUAUAAAACAACCUUUAAUAACUUUGUUGUCUAUAGCUUAAUAGACAACUACUUUACUAUAUAUCUUUAAAUGUUGUCUAUGUUAUAUGUCUAUAUACGUUUUUCACGUAGUGUGGAAACAAAUUAAAAUUACCUCAUUGAAGCCCAAAUCCACUUUGAUUUGCUCGGCGUUAUCCAUGUCUGUAAUGCCAAGAAAGCUAAUGAUUCCUAAGAAUCCUGUCUCAUUUGGAAAUAUGUGGAGAUCAUCAGAGAUUAUGAAAGAUGAUGUAUUCAUGGUGAAAACUCCAUCUCUAGAUGCAGCAGCUUCAGACCCUUUCUUACCUACUUCUUUAAUCAUACUAUCAUGUAAGCAAAUUUUGCACCUAUUGACAUGAUCAUAGUAGAUGCUUAGGCUACGAAAUCUAUUAGGCUGAUGAGUGUGAUACCGAAUGAUGGGAUAUUUACUACAAUAGAAAUAUUCAGCAGGCUGAAAAUCAGUGAUAUCGAGUUUCAGCCUCCUGUAUUCAUCUUCCAAUGAACUUGUUGGAUCAAGCAGAGUCUGCUUAGCUCCAUCAGUCCAGAAAUAUGCACUGUCGAGAUUUACUAAGCUACGGUACAAACUGCUUAAGCUACCAAUGGUAGGCGCCUCGUCUCCAUAGUGCUUCUCGAGGACUUUCACAAUUCUUCCCAAUGGCAAACUCAAGAAGCUUAACAAAAUGUCUGCAAAAUGGCUGUCGGAGUCUGCGAAGAGCACCUUAGUUCUCUCUUUAUUGAUCAUCACUUUCAACGAAAAUGUCGCACCUUUUUUAUCAUCAGCCAUUCUUGAAAUAUAUAUAUGUGGUACAAACAAAGAAAUAUUUGAAUAAUGUAAACGAAAGAUUUCAGCAAUCCCUGCAAUUUUAUGGGGGAAGAAGUUAACCUAAGAGUCGUUAGUUUACUCCCUCCAAAUUAAUUGGCAAAUUCCAAGACUCUCUACAAAUUCCAAGAAUCGUUACAAAAAUUAACCAAGCGCCACUAGUCCCACCAAAUUUCAAGAUCCAUCCGAUUUAUUUGAUUAAUUUCCCGAUUUAUUUAUUCCAAAAAAAUAGAUUUUAUUUUAGAUUGAAAAAGUGAAGUAGCAGUACCUCUUCCAAAUAAGUGUCAAUUUGUCCAACAAAAUUCCAAGAUUAUCUGCAUUGAUCACUCUCCCUUUUUACGAGUCACAGAAAUUAACCAAACGUUGCACCAAAUUCCAAGACCUUCUAGAGUCGAGAAGAAUAAUCUGCUUAACUGUAUAUAUUGGUAUUUAUCAUACGAGAAUAAUUAGAAAGUCAAAUCAACAAUAUGUAUUCUUGUGCUAAAUAAUACUAAACACUAGAUUGAUCUGUACUAAAUUAGCUAAUACAGUGUAUUAGCCAAUAUCAAACACGCACUUAGUUUAGUUUGGCUUCUAUUUAGUGUUGAACAAUAUAUAUUCUUGUGGUUGAAUGUAUUUGCGUUGUGAUUGUCUAUUCAUUUAAGCAGUUUGCAAUAGCUUUGGUGCUUGUAUUGUUGUGCAAAUUUUGAUCUUGUUUUAGUGAUUUCACUACGGAUCAAUGUUUUUGUUCAUUUUGAUAUUGUUAUGCAUCUGUUUCCUUUGUUUAAUAUUGCAGAACUUCGACAUAAUGAGGCUCUUUCUAGUAGUAUAUAAAGUUGAUUUUAGAGGAAAGAUAAGGUUGAAAAUAACAGAAUUUGUGCAAGUUUGAUUCUAGUUAUAAAGGAAAAGGUCCAAAUGAACAAAACACAUAAAUUAAGUCAUUCCAAAAGGGAAAAUGAAAACUUUGCAAACAGACAAAAGGUCCAAAUGAAGCACUGCACCAAACAUAAUUUAAAAUAAAAAUGAAACACCAUAGCUAUUAAAAAACAAGCUGAGUUUGCAACAUGUAGGAGCAGAAAAAACAUAUUAGGAAGCAUGGAUCACAGUCAGUCUUCUUCUCUCUUAGGUUGUUUGAGCGAUUUGUGAGUCAAGAGAGCAUCAGUGAGAGCAGUAGUAGAAGUAAGAGAGGCUUUCAGUAUGCUACAAGCCUGCACCAACACAAUUCAUCUCAACAUCUAAACAUAUAUACAAAAUCAAUCAAAUGAUACAGAUUUCAAAUUGUAUUACCUCUUUCAAUCCAAUUCGCAGCUCCAUUUCUUUUACAUCAGAUAUUGAGAUUUUCUUCUCCCUGAGACUGGAAAGGAUCGAGACAAUACAAAAAGGCAACACAGUUAAGUCAUCCUUUACCUGAUAAGUCCGUGGUCCUCGAAGAUAUCUCCCUUGGCCAUUGGGAAACUUAAGAGAAGAAAACAAAAAUAGUUUUUCAAGGUAAAAAGGAGGCAAUGAUUCUUCGGUGAGGGGAAGAAUGUGGUUUUGAGAUAUACAACCAUGUGGCAAAUUGGACUCCAUUAGCCUCUUUUUUGUAUGUGAGCUCUUGAAAUACUUGCAAUUUCUAGGAUCAGCUGUGCUCCGGUAAAGGUUGUCUAUAGCCUUAACACAUGUUUCGCCUCCAAGAAGAUGCUCAGCUCCUCCUAGUGGGAUAUGAAGGAAACUAAAUAGAAACUCCACAAAAUCUUCCUUAGCUUGAGCAUACAAAAACUUGCCGGUAGAUUUUUGUAUAAUCACUUUCAAACUUAAAGCCCUAGAGUUGGCAUUUUCUUCUUCAAUAUUUAGUUGAGAUUCCACUGUUGAAGAGUUCAUCUGUAUUGUUUUAUUCAAUAUGAGGUCCGACAAUGGAGUUGGAGACGUCAAGGAUGCCUUUAACAGGUUCAUAAUCUAAACAAAAUACACAAUUAAUAAGCCAUGAAAACACAGAAUUGAAGAAGAUUGAGAUUAGAGAGUCAAGAAUCACCUCAUUGAACCCUAAAUCAACUUUGAUCAACUCAGCCUUAGGGGUGGCACGGUACGGUAUACCUUAUUAAAUCGACCAUACCUUAUACCUUACCUUUACCUCCGGUAUGGAGAAAAUUNAGUAGAUGUAAGAGAGGCUUUCAGUAUGCUGCAAGCCUGCACCAACAAAAUUUAUUUCAGCAUCUAAACAUACAUUCAGAAAUAUAACAACCAAGAUUUCAAAUAUACAGUUUAAUCACCUCUUUCAGCCCUAUUUGCAUCUCCACUUCUUUGACAUCAGAUAUCGAGAUUUUCUGCUCUUUAAGAGAGGAAAGUGUCGAGGAAAAGCAGAAAGGCGUAACAGUUAAAUCAUCCGCCACGUGAUAAGUUGGGGAUCCUUUUAGAUAACUUCCCUGCCCAUUGGGAAACUUAACCGAAGAUAACAAGUUCAGAUAAUCAUUGUACUCAGCAGGCAAGCAUUCUUCAGCGAGGGGGAAAAUGCAGUGUGCUGAAAUGUAGCCAUGAGGUAGAAUGGGUGUCAUUAGCCUCUUUUUUCGUAUCCGGGGUAAUGAAAUGCUUGCUAUCUGCAAGGUCGGAUGUGCUCCGGUACAAGUUGUCUAUAGCCUUAACACAAGUGUUACCGGCAAGAAGAUGCUCAACUCCAACCAAUGGGAUGUAGAGGAACUAAACAGAAACUCCACAAACUGUUUAUUUGCUUGAGCAUACGCAACCUUACCAGUAGAUUGUUGUAUCAUCACUUUCAAUCUUAAAUUCCUCGAGUUGUUUGGAUUCUCUUCCUCUGUAGUGUGUGGUUGAGUCACCAUGAAUUUAGAGUAAAUCAGCUGUGUUGUUUUAUUUAGGAUGAUGUCCGACAAUGGAGUUGGGGACGUCAAGGAAGCCUUCAACAAAUUCAUAAUCUAACAAUAACAUGAUAUACACAAAUUAAAUAAAUAACUAGUUAUAACAAAGAUUGAGAUUAGAGAAAACCAAAAAUUACCUCAGUGAAGCCCAAAUCCACCUUGAUUUGCUCGGCGUUAUCCAUGUCUGUAAUGCCAAGAUAGCUAAUGACGCCUAAGAGUCCUGUCUCACUUGGAAAUAUGUGGAGAUCAUCAGAUAUUAAGAAAGAUGAUGUAUUCAUGGUGAAAACUCCAUCUCUAGAUGCAGCAGCUUCAGAUCCUUUCUCAACUACUUCUAUUUUCAUAGCAUCAUUAUAUGAGCAAAAUUUGCACCUCUUGACAUGAUCAUAGAAGAUGCUUACGCUACGAAAUCUAAAAGACUGAGGGUGAUAGAAACAAUAGAAAUAUUCAGCAGGCUGAAAAUCAGUGAUGUCGAGUUUCAGCCUCCCGUAUUCAUCUUCCAAUGAACUUGUUGGAUCAAGCAGAGUCUGCUUAGCUCCAUCAGUCCAGACGUAGGAACUGUCGAGAUUUACUAAGCUACGGUAUAAACUGCUUAAGCUACCAAUGGAAGGCGCCUCGUCUCCAUAGUGCUUCUCGAGGACUUUCACAAUUCUUCCCAAUGGCAAACUCAAGAAGCUUAACAAAAUGUCUGCAAAAUGGCUGUCGGAGUCUGCAAAGAGUACCUUAGUUCUCUCUUUAUUGAUCAUCACUUUCAACGAAAAUGUAGCACCCUUUUUAUCAUCAGUCAUUCUUGAAUUUGAUACAGAAGUCGUCACUGCACUAAUUAGUUUAUAUGUGUAUUGAUCUAAUAGUAGAAUAUAAUUAAUGUUUGAGGUUAAAGGUAUCAAGAUUGCUAUUUGGACAUAAUAUGUUCAUAUAUAAAAUGGUCAAAUAUAUAAAAAUCGAUUAAUUUAAAAAUUUUGGCUCAAAAUAAAAAAGGAUUAAUUUAGUUAAUUAAAAAUAAAGACAGCUACAAUGUGAACAAAAUUUUAAAACUAGCUAAUUUUUUUUUAUUUUUUUAAAUCGAAAAUUUUAUAUUAAUUUUAUUUUGUAUAUAUUCAUUCAUGACCCAAAAAAACCCAUCUUUUCGUCAAAUUCUGUCAUUAUUCAAAACCAAAAUCUAGUUUCCUGAGAGUCCAAUUAAAUCCUUCAUAAAGACUAAAAGAAGCUCGAAUUAAACAUCUCUUACUCGGGUAAUUCUAUCUAUAUCAAAGCCUAUUUUUCAGAAAAAUUAAAAUUUAGUGUAUUUUAUUUCAAAUUUUAAAGAUUGCGAGCAAAAUCAAAAUCCGUCUAAAUUUUAUGUAUUUUGUGGCAAUUUACCCAUAAACAUAGUAGUAAUUAACUAAUUAAUAAACAAUUAAAAAUAGACACAGUGUGAACAAGAGAUGAAUAAGUCAAGAAUUACCUGAUUUCCAAAUUUAUAAAAAUUGGGGAUUUUCAAGAGAAAAAAGACAGAUUUUCAAGUCAACCCAGAAGAAAAUAUGUUGUUGGAUGAGGGUGGCUGAGCUCGCGGCGGAGGAAGAAGAGAGGAGUGGAUAGAUGAGUGAGAGAGAAGCACUGUCAUUAUUUGGCUACUAAAGCAAAAUGGAGCAAACAGUUGAGCUAUGCCAUUGGCGAAUCUUUGCUUUUUCACUUUUUUUUUAAACUUCUUUUUCUGUUUUUCAACUUUUUCUUUUCCAUGUUUUUGGUUUGUCGGUUUCACAAAAAGUACUAUUGCAUGACUUUAUUUGACGCAAUUGUAAUUUAAUACUCCGUGCGCCAAAAUUAGACUACUUUGGUUGAGCACGAAAUUUAAUAAAAUUGGUGAUGAUUUUGAUGUAGUGGAGAAAAUGUCCCACCACUUUAUUAGAUGUGUGGUUGAGAUUGAAUUUGGGCUAGUUUUUUUUGUAAAUAAAAAGUGUUUGUAAGGAUAAAAGAUUAAAGUAGGUAGUAGGACCAUUUCCAUAAAAGGAAAGUGGUAUGCUUUUUGCGGACGCUCAAUAUAAUAAAAAUGGUCUACUUUUGGCGGACGGAGGGAGCAUGUUUGAACAAAAAAGUAGUUAAAUACUUUAACAAAUAUAUUUAUUUAAAACUUUUGAUUAAAAAAAUAGUUAUUUUUAUUAUUUUCUCCAUAUUUUAUUUUAUAAUUUUUAAUAUUUUAUUUAAAAAUUGUUAUUUUUAAAGAGCAUAAAAAUUACAAAUAAAAAGUAAAAAUUAAAAUAGCACCUUAGAUUUCUCUCUAUUGAUCAUCACUUUCAACGAAAACGUAGCAUUCUUGUUCUUGUUUUUCUCAGACAUUUUGGUGGAGGCGAAGAUUUUUCUACAAUUCUAUUUUCUUAUUUGUGAAACAUCAACCUUUCAAGUUCAACCAUAUUAAUAUUCCAUUUUCAGGUGUCUUGAAAUUCGGAAUUUGUUGCUGGUUAAUCAAUUUUAAUUAGGAGUGAAUGCAGAAGGUGUGGCUUUUAGUGGGACUAGUGACUCUUGGUUAACUCCUUCCUCAUAAACAAGGGAGUGAAUGUAGAAAAAAAUCGAAUUAGUAUCUUCAUCUGUUAUUUAGAUCUAAAUCCAAACACAGCCAAAUAUAAAACCUAGUAUUAAAAAAGUGACUUGUUUUACAAAAUUUGAUUUGCCUAUUAUAUCCCUCAUAUAUACUUAGAUUAAGGUUAAUUGUGUAAUUUAAUAUAUUAUACUUAUAAUAUAUCUAUAAAUAUAUUAUGGUUUAUCUUUUAUAUUUUAAUAGCUAUUUAAGUAGUAGUAUCCAUUAGGACUCUUCAUCAUAUAAGUUAUUAUUUUUUUAUUACAUAAUUAUAAUAAUUUAGAAUUAAAAUACAAAGGAUUACUUAAGUAAUAGUAUCCAUUAGAAUUAGUAAAUCGAAAGAUUUCAGCGAGUCCUCUCUUUUAUGGGGGAAGAAGUUAACCGAAGAGUCGUUAAUUAGUCCUCCAAAUUCCAAGACACUCUACAAAUUACAAGAAUCAUUAGAGAAAUUAACCAAGCGCCGCUAGUCCCACCAAAUUCCAAGACAUAAACUUGUUAAAUAGGUUUGAUUUAUUUAAUUUAUUUUUUAAAAUAAAAAUAAUUAUUAUUUUUCCUUAUAUUGUUUAUAUUUUAUUUAUUUUUUGUAAUUUUUUAUUUUUUUAGAAAUAAAAUAGAAAAGUGCAAAAAAAAAGGUACAAUUAAUAUAGACAAUACAAUAAAUUAGUUAAAAGCUAUUUUUAAUUUUAAAAAUAAACUAAAUAAAUCAAAAAAAUUAUCCUAUUGAACUAAUUUGUGAGUGGUCCUGAUGUGAUUGCAUAUAUUUAUUGUUUGGUUGAUUUCCCGGUUUUAUUUACGAUUAAAAAAGUGAAGUAGAAGUAUCUCUUCCAACUAAAUUACCGAUUUUGUGUGUAGGUGGAAUACAAUUUAAAUUUGAAUAAGUUUCAUUUUAAACGUAGGUUAUAGAAAUUUGAUGCAUGCAUGUGAUUUUCUUUAUAGGUGUAUUGAGUGAUGUCACACAAUUCUUUAUUCUUUUGAAUUAUUGAAUGAAUUAUAUGUGACAACAAUUUCAUAAAUAUUAGGAGAUCAAAUGAAUUCUUGCUGCUUAAUUCCAAGUUAGCUGCGGACGUUUAAUUUUGUAUCUCAUAAAGAGAGUGAAUGCAGAGAGUCUCGGAAUUUGGUAGGACUAAUGACUCUUAGGUUAAAGUUGUCGUUGAAAGUGAUGAUAAAUAUAGAGAGAAAUGAGGUACACAAUAUAUAUUUCGAAUUUUUACUCAUCCUACUCCAAUAACAUUUAUGAUAAUUCUUAUUUCAACAAACAAAUAAUAGUUACUCCAUCUCAUAUAUUGUGCAACUUAAAUUUUUUUAUACUCAUAUAGUAUUAAAUAAUUAAUUAAAUUUUAAAUAUAAACCAGUUAGGUGAUAAAAUGCAUCUCAUCUAGCUGCUUAAUUCGAAGCUAGCUACUGCAUGGAGUUUAAUUUGAUUUAGUAUCACAUAAAGAGAGCGAAUGCAGACAGAGACGGAUCUAAAGGCCGGGCAGCCUCGGCGGUCGCCCGGUCAUUUUUUUAUUACCUAUAUAUAUAUAUAUAUAUAUAUAUAUAUAUAUAUUAUUAUUUANNNNNNNNNNNNNNNNNNNNNNNNNNNNNNNNNNNNNNNNNNNNNNNNNNNNNNNNNNNNNNNNNNNNNNNNNNNNNNNNNNNNNNNNNNNNNNNNNNNNNNNNNNNNNNNNNNNNNNNNNNNNNNNNNNNNNNNNNNNNNNNNNNNNNNNNNNNNNNNNNNNNNNNNCACUUUAUAAAUAGCUUUCAACUUCUUUAUUUUUCCAAUGUGGGAUGACACUCCACAUUUCCAUCUUCAAUGGCUAUCUUUGGGCAUUAAUUACUCAUUCAAUUCUUAAUAGAUUUGAACAAGUAAAUAUACCAAAUUAAUCUACUCAAAAUGUAGAUUCCAAAUAUACCAUUUAAUUCCAUUAAUUACAAAGUAAUUAUGGACUAAUAAAAGCCAUUUAUUCCAACAAUAUAUAACAACUAAGAUUUCAAAUGAUACAGGUUACCUCUUUCAGCCCGAUUUGCAUCUCCACUUCUUUGACAUCAGAUAUCGAGAUUUUCUGCUGUUUAAGAGAGGAAAGUGUCGAGGCAAAGAAGAAAGGCGUAACAGUUAAAUCAUCGGCCACGUGAUAAGCUGGCGAUCCUUUAAGAUAACUUCCCCGCCCAUUGGGAAACUUGACAGAAGAAAACAUCGAUAUAUUAUCAUAGUCAGCAGGCAAGGAUUCUUCAGUGAGGGGGAAAAUGUAGUCUUUCGAAAUGUAGCCAUGAGGUAGAAUGGGAGUCAUUAGUCUCUUUUUCGUAUCCGGGGUAAUGAAAUGCUUGCUAUCUGCAAGGUCGGAUGUGUUCCGGUACAAGUUGUCUAUAGCCUUAACACAAGUGCUACCGGCAAGAAGAUGCUCAACUCCUACCAAUGGGAUGUAGAGGAAACUAAACAGAAACUCUACAAACUGUUUAUUAGCUUGAGCAUACGCAACCUUACCAGUAGAUUGUUGUAUCAUCACUUUCAAACUUAAAUUCGUAGAGUUAUUUGGAUUCUCUUCCUCUGUAGUGUGUGGUUGAGACACCAUGAGUGUAGAGUAAAUCAGCUGUGUUGUUUUAUUUAGGAUGAUGUCCGACAAUGGAGUUGGGGACGUCAAGGAUGCCUUCAACAAAUUCAUAAUCUAACUAACAUGAUAUACACAAAUUAAAUAAAUAACUAGUUAUAACAAAGAUUGAGAUUAGAGAAAACCAAAAAUUACCUCAGUGAAGCCCAAAUCCACCUUGAUUUGCUCGGCGUUAUCCAUGUCUGUAAUGCCAAGAUAGCUAAUGACGCCUAAGAGUCCUGUCUCACUUGGAAAUAUGUGGAGAUCAUCAGAGAUUAAGAAAGAUGAUGUAUUCAUGGUGAAAACUCCAUCUCUAGAUGCAGCAGCUUCAGAUCCUUUCUUAACUACUUCUAUUUUCAUAGCAUCAUUAUAUGAAGCAAAAUUUGCACCUCUUAACAUGAUCAUAGUAGAUGCUUACGCUACGAAAUCUAUAAGACUGAGAGUGAUAGUAGGAUAUUUACAAUAGAAAUAUUCAGCAGGCUGAAAAUCAGUGAUGUCGAGUUUCAGCCUCCCGUAUUCAUCUUCGAAUGAACUUGUUGGAUCAAGCAGAGUCUGCUUAGCUCCAUCAGUCCAGAAAUAGGCACUGUCGAGAUUUGCUAAGCUACGGUACAAACUGCUUAAGCUACCAACGGAAGGCGGCUCGUCUCCAUAGUGGUGGUCGAGGAUUUUGACAAUUCUUCCCAACGGCAAAGUCAAGAAGCUUAACAAAAUGUCUGCGAAGUGGCUGUCGGAGUCUGCAAAGAGUACCUUAGUUCUCUCUUUAUUGAUCAUCACUUUCAACGAAAAUGUAGCACCCUUUUUAUCAUCAGCCAUUCUUGAAAUAUAUAUGUGGUACAAACAAAGAAAUAUUUGAACAAUGUAAUCGGAAGAUUUCAGCAAACCCUCCAUUUUUAUGGGGGAAGAAGUUAACCUAAGAGUCGUUAGUUUAGUGCCUCCAAAUUCCAAGAAUCGUUAGAAAAAUUAACCAAGCGCCACUAGUCCCACCAAAUUCCAAGACCCAUCGGAUUGUAUUUGAUUAACUUCCCAAUUUUAAAAAAUAAAAAAAAAAAAUAAAAAAAAUCGAUCUAUUUUAGAUUGGAAAAGUGAAGUAGAAGUACCUCUUCCAACUAAUUAAAUUACCGAUUUAGUGUCAAUAUAGACCACAAUUUAAAUUUAAAUAAGUUUCAUUUUAGAUAUAGGUUUACAAAUUUGAUGCAUGCAUGUGAUAACAAUUUCAUAAUUUUUUUUUUGAAACAAUUUCAUAAAUAUUAGGAGAUCAAAUGCAUCCCAUAUGUAGCUGCUCAAUUCCAAGUUAGCUACUGACGUUUAAUUUGAUUUUGUAUCUCAUAAAGAGAGUGAAUGCAAGGAGUCUUGGAAUUUGGUGGGACUAAUGACUCUUAGGUUAACUUCUUCCCCAUAAAAAGGGAGGGUUUGGUGAAAACUAUCGAUUACAUUAUUAUCUCAAGAAUGUCUGAUGUUGAGAAGGAUGUCAAGUUGUCGUUGAAAGUGAUGAUAAACAAAGAGAGAAAUGAGGUACUCUUUGCAGAAGCCGACAACCAUUUCACAGACAUUUUGUUAAGCUUCUUGAGUUUGCCGUUGGGAAGAAUUUUCAAAGUCUUCAAGAAGCACUAUGGUGAUGAGCUUCCUACCAUUGGAAGCUUAAGCAGUUUGUACCAUAGCUUAACAAAUCUUGAUAGCGCCCAUUUUGUGACGGAGGGUGCUAAGCAGACUCUGCUCAGUCCAACCAGUUUAUUUGAAGAUGAAUACAAAAGGCUGAAACUCGAUAUCACUGAUUCUCCGCCUGCUGAAUAUUUCUAUUGUUCAUCCUGUUACCCUCAUGAUAGAUUUCAUAUUAUAAGCAUGUACUAUGACUCUGUUGAGCGUUGCAAAUGUUACCGUAGUAUGAUGAAAGAAGUAGCUAAAAAAGGGUCUGAAGCAGCUAGUGAUGGAGUGUUUACUAUACGUAAAGCAUCUUUCACAAUCUCUGAUGAUCUUCAAAUAUUUCCAAAUGAGAUUGGACUCCUACCAAUCACCACCCUUCUUGGCAUUACAGAUGCCCAUAAGGCUGAGGAAAUCAAAGUGGAUCUUGGCUUCAAUGAGGUGAUUUCUUGAAUAUUCUCUAAUUAAUCUCAAUCUUUGUUAUAACUAGUUAUUUAUAUUUUGUCAUUUUUGUGUUUAUAUGGUUGUUAGAUUAUGAAUUUGUUGAAGGCUUCCUUGACGUCCCCAACUCCAUUGUCGGACGUAAUCCUGAAUAAAACAACAACACAGAUGAACUCUGCAAAGAUUCCGUUGCAUGAGAUUGUAGAGAAAAAAAACCCCAAUUCUAGGAAUUUAAGUUUGAAAGUCACCAUACAAAAAUCUACAGGUAAGUUUCUGUAUGCUCAAGCUAAGGCAGAUUUUAUGGAGUUUCUAUUUGGUUUCUUCAACAUCCCACUAGGAGGAGUUGGGCAUCUUCUUGCUGGCAAGACUGGUUUCAAGGCUAUAAACAACUUGUAUCGGAGCACAACUGACCUUAUAAACGACAAGUAUUUCAAGACCUCGGAUAUGAAAAGAAGGCUAAUGAAACCCAACUUGUUUCAUGGUUGCACUUCCAAAAACAACAUUCUUGCUCUUGUCGAAGAACCCUUGCCUGAUGACUUCGAUAAAGCUGAAUUUUCUUCAGUCAAGUUUCCCAAAGGGAAGGGUAGGUAUCUUGAAGGAGCAGCAACUUAUAAGGUGACAGAUGACUUAACUGUGACCCCUUUUUGCACUGUCUCCAUUCUUUCUACUCUGAAUAGCUUGAAAAUCCCAAUAAAUGACGUCGAAGAAAGGGAUCUGCAAAUCGGAUUGAAAGAGAUAAUCAUUGAAUCUUUUUAUAAAUGAUUUUUUUUAGCAUAUUUUGAGAUGAAGUUUGUUGGUGCAGGGCUUGAGCAUACUGAAAGCUUCUCUUACAUCCACUUCUGCUCUCACAGAUUCUCUCCUCAGUCAUAAAUCGAGCAAGAAACGGAAGAAAGAACUCGCAGGCUGAUCCUUGGUUGCAACUAUUACAAAUAUUAGCAACUCUAUAUAUGGUGCUUAUAUUUGCUUUUGCUUUUUAUUGUGAUCCUAAUAUUUUCAAGGACCUAUUUUUCAUAUGCAAGUUACUGUUUUUGUUUCUGUGUUGUCCUUAUAUGAGAGAAAGCAUACUCUUGAAAUUACUUCUAAUUUAUUGACAAUAUUGCCUCGCUCACAUGAUCAGACGAAUCCACCCUAAAAAAUAACUACUGAAACUUGAAAAAAUUUACACUAAACUUGCAAAUAAUAAAAAGAUUUUCUUUUUCAUUUCUUGGAAUCGUGCAACAGGCUGAUAUCGAGGAUGAGAUCUAGUGUACCAUAAACGAUGUCUCAUUCCAUGUCUCACUAUUAAAAUGACGUAGUUUUAAUUAUAACUCUAAUAUGUACAUAAUUGAUAUCAUCAUUCUAAAGUAAAGGAAGGAAUUACACAAAAAAUCAUAUGGUUCUUUUGCUUCCCAAUUUGUUCUUCUACUCAAAUCCAAAUCAUUCUGCCGGUAAGGCUUGUGUUAAGGCUAUAGACAACAUGUAUUAGAACACAUGUGAAUAUAUGGAUAACGUAUCUCAUAACCUCGGAUACGAAGAAGAGGAUAAUAAAACCUAAUGUGGUUCAUGGCUGUAUAGAGAGAAACACUUACAUCCCCUUCUGUUCUCACCGAUGAUCUCCUAACUCGCACAUCGAAUAAACAAAUAAUUGGAGAAGUAUGAGUUUGAUCCACACAACAAUUUUGCUGCAUAAUUAUAUAACUAAUAUUGUUUGCUUAUGUUAAUAGCUAUGGUUCUUAAAUUAAACAAUCUUCAUAGUGUAUUAUGAGAGUUAUGCAUCUAUUGAUCUCUUUGAUGAUGCAUUGUUUAAAUCAUUUAAAAAUUCAAUAAAAUACAUUAUUUCAAAUGUUUACUCAUCCUAACCCAAUAACAUGUACGAUAAUUCUUAUUUCAACAAACGAACAAUAGGUACUCCAACUCAUAAAUUCUAAUUAGCAAAAUAUUACUUAUAGAUUUUCGUUUUUGUGACUUCCUAUCAUAUCUGGGCUCGGAUCACAAAGAAGGAUGACAAUGGGCUCAUAUCUACAUUUGGUCUAGAUCCAUUAACUUUGAAAAAAAAAUUAAAUAUAGGUCAAAAUUCAUAAAAUCCACAACUAAUUUAUGUAAUUCGAUUAAUUUAUUUAAAUUGGUUAUUGCAAUUGAAGUUAGCAAAAAUAAAUAAAGGAUAAAUCCUUUCGGAUCAAAUUGAUCCGAAUCAAUGAUAAUAAUAUUGUCAAAAUAUUUAAAUUGAAAAUGUAUCUUACCUUAAAUGCCCUUAAUAAAAAUUUAGAAUUCAAAAUAUUAAAUUUAUUAUUCAUAUACAUAAAUUCAAAUGUUUUUCCAUUUUUCUAGGCCAUUAAUUGAAUUCGUAAAUAUAAAAAUUGUACGUUAGUCUCCUUAAAUUUAUGAACUUAAUUAAAUGAAUUUAUGAUUAUAACAAUUUCGGUUAGUCUAUCAAUAAAAUUAUGAAUCUUCUUCCAAGUCUCCUGAGCUUUAUGCAAAGUAUCACGAUUGCAUCGAACGAAAAUUUAAACGAAUAAUCAACUAAAAAUUAAUUAAAAUGGCGAAUCUUCUUCCAAGUUAGACUCUGGUGGGACGACGUUUGGUUAGUUUCUCUAUCUCGUAAAAAGGUAGUGAUAUCAAUGCGUAGAAUCUUGGAAUUUGGUUGGACUAAUGACUCUUUGGUGGGUUAAUUUCUUGCCUUAAAAAAAAGCGAGGGUUUGCAGACAAAUCUUGAUAGCAAUCUAAGUUUUCAUCUCCAUUACCACAAAUAUUACUAAUUUUCUACACAUUUUAGCAGAAUGUCUGAUGCUAAUAAAGAUGUCAAGUUGUCGUUGAAAGUGAUGAUGAAUAAAGAUAAAACUAAGGUUCUCUUUGCAGAAGCCGACGGCCAUUUUAUAGACAUUUUGUUAAGCUUCUUGACUUUGCCGUUGGGAAGAAUUAUCGAAAUCUUCCACAACCAGUAUGGAGAAAAGGCACCCACCAUUGGAAGCUUAAGCAGUUUGUAUCGUAGCUUAGAAAAUCUCGAUGACGCCCACUUUGUGACGGAGGCUGCUCAGCGGGCUCUGCUCUAUCCAAUCAGUUCAUUUGAAGAUGCAUACAAAAGGCUGAAACUGGACAUCACUGAUUCUCUGCCUGAGAAGUAUUUCUGCUGUUUCUUAGCCUCUCAUGGUAGAUUUCCUAGUUUAAGCAUCUACUAUGAUAAUCUCACUUGCAGAAUCUGUGGCAAUAUGAUGAGAAAAGAAGCAGCUAAAAACCUAUCUAGAGCUUCUUCGAGUGAUGGAGUGUUCACGAAAAGUAAAGCAUCUUUCACAAUCUCCGGUGAUCUGCAAAUAUUUCCAAAUGAAAUUGGGCUCCUACCAUUCAUCACCCUUCUUGGCAUUACAGACGCGCAUGAGGCGGAGGAAAUCCAAGUGUCGUUUGGGUUCGAUGAGGUGAUUCUUGUUUCUUUAAUCUCAAUUUUCCACCUUUUUUUUGGGAUUAAUUGGUUAUAAUCCAGAAAGGGGUUAGUGCCUAGAUUAGAAUCGUAAUUUUAGGAAAAUUUCGAAAAUAAUCCAAGUUGAUCAUGGCUUUGUUAGUUUGUUUACUAAUCUAUACCUAUAAAAUUUGAUUCGUCUAUAAUAUCUGUCAUAUAUAUUUAUUUUAAGGUUAAUUGUGUAUUUUAAUAUUUUUUAUAUAUAAUAAAUCUAAAAAAAUAAGUUAUGAUUUAUAUUUUAAUUAGUAUUUAAGUGGUAGUACCUAUUAGGACUCUUCAUCCACAUAAAUUACUGUUCUUUAUUCUCUAAAGUUAGUAAUUUAGAAUCACAGUAUUACUUAAUACUAGUUUUAUUAGAAGAAUUCUUGGAUUAAAAUUAAUUAUAUAAAGAUGAAACCUAGAAAACAAACAUGAAUUUUAUAUACUUUUAUUUUUGGUUAUGUUUUUUUCUGUGGACGUCCAAAAUUAGUUGGUACUUAAUAAAUUAAAAUUAAAUUUCAUACAAAAUUUAGAUAUUACAUAACUUUUAAAAAAUUAUUGUCAUAAAAGUUACUCCCUCUUUCCACGAAAGAAUUUCCUAUCUUUCCUUGUUGGGAUGUCCACAAAAGAACUUCCUAUUUAUUUUUGGACUAUACCCCACCACUUAUGAUCUUCUUACUUUUCAAUUUUCACAACUCUCAAUAUUAAUUAUAACACUUUUUCACCACUUCUAGUACACUCAACUACCUUUUAUCCACUCUCAAUACACUCAACAAUAUUUUUUCUUAAAAUUCAUGUCACUUCCUCCUAGAAAGUUCUUUUAUGGACGGAGGGAGUGCUAUAUAGUAUUAAAGUAAUUCAUUUUUACGGGCAAACACAAUCAUUUCUGCUAGUAAUCUAUAUAAAUUUGUAGCCGAUUAACCCUUUUUUUUUUAAUGAGAUGUUAGAUUAUGGACUUGUUGAAGGCAUCAUUGACGUCGCCAACUCCAUUGUCGGACCUCAUCCUACGUAAAAAAACAAAGAGUUCAACUGCAGCUAUUUCAAUGCAUGAAAUUGUGAACGAGAUAAACCCCAAGUGUAGGAAUUUAAGUUUGAAAUUGAUGAUACGAAAAUCCACCGGUGAGCUUUUGUACGCUCAAGCUCAGGAAGAUUUCGUAGAGUUUCUAUUUGGUUUGCUCACCAUUCCACUAGGAGGAUUGGAGCAUCUUCAAGCCGGCAAGUCUUGUUUUACGGCGAUAAACAACUUGUAUCGGAGCACGGCUGAACUAGACGACAAGUAUUUCAAGACCUCGGAGACGAAGAAGAGGCUUAUGAAUCCCCAUUUGCCUCAUGGUUGCAUCUCCCCAAACCAGAUUCUUCCCCUCACUGAAGAAUGCUUGCCUGCUGAGUACAUUGAUAAUCUCUCGCUCUUUUCUUCGGUUGCGUUUCCUGAAGGCCAGGGAAGAUAUCUCGAGCGACCAACAACUUAUUUGGUGAGCGAUAAUUUGACUGUGACUCCUUACUUUACUGUUUCUGCUCUUUGCCGUAUGAAUAAGGAGAAGAUUCCGAUAUCUGAUGUUGAAGAAAUGCAGCUGCAAAUUGGAUUGAAAGAGGUAAAUACAACUUUGAUAGCUUUUAAUUGUAUAUAUGUUUAGAUGUUGAGAGCAAAUUUGUUGAUGGGUGCAGGCUUUGAGCAUACUGAAAGCUUCUCUUACAUCCACCACAGCUCUCUCCGAUGCUCUGCUCAAUACUUACCCGUCGCACAAACGACAAAAGAAAUAAUUUUGAUUGCAUCGUUUGAAUGUCCCUUGAUGGAAAAUAAUAAUGAGCUUAUGAAAGCUAGUAUUGUAGACAUAAUUUAUGAGUUUUCAAAGAAGUAUUCUCUUGUGCCAGUUAAUUAAGAUCUUCGAGUCUAAAAUAGACGUCUUAAUUUUGUUAUUUGUUCAUUCAUUAAAAACUCUGAUUUUGCUAAUAUCACUGUGGAUCUAGUUUCCACCAAUUUAUAUUUUAUUCAUAUUUAAUAUAAAUUAAUUUCAAAGCUAUUUCUAAUUAAUAUAAAAAAAAUUUAUUAUUUUAUAAAUAUUGUAUAACAAAAUUAACAAAAUUAGUAAUUAUUUUAGUUUUUACUUUUUAUUUGUAAUUUUUAUGCUUUAAAAAUAAUAAUUUUUAAAAAAAUUAUAAAAAUUACAAAAAUAAUAAUUAGCAACUAUGGUGCUUAUGUUUGCUUUUGUUUUUUCAUAUGAUCCUAGAUAUUCCAGUCACUUAGACCUUUUCUUCAUAUGCAAAUUAUUUGUUUUUUGUUUCUGUAGAAAGCAUAAUCUUGAAAGUUAUACAACUAAAAUCGAACUGUCAAAUGGAAUUACUCCAAUUUAAAAUGUCGAAAUAUUCAUUGACAAUAUAUACUACCUCGCUAACAAAAUCAGAGCAAUCCACAACUAAAAAUAACUACUGAAACUUGAAAUAGUUUACACUAAACUUGCGACGAAUGGAAAAAAAAUAAGAUUUCCUUUUUCAUUUGUUGGAAUCCCACACCAUGUCCAACUAUCAAAACCAUCUGACAUUUAAACAAAAUCAUGUUUAUAUUCCAAAAAUUAUUAUUUCUCACACCCGAAAGAUGACGGGUGAUAUCUGAUGUAGCCUAAAUAUUUGAAAGCUAUAGUGAAUAAAGAGAUGCAACGUGCUACGAUUGUGAGAAUCUUGAAGAAGCACUAUUUGAAUCUCUGAAUAUCUAGUUGUAGUGAUUUCUGGUUAUAUCAUUUUUUGCAUUUUCGUUUUAUGUUUUGUGGUAUAUGCAUAUUAAGAGCAUCCCUUACAUCUGAUUAUGAUUCUGCUUGGCAUUAUCAUAAAAUCUGAGGCACAAAAAAUCUCUCUUUUGUAAGAAGUCAUUAAUUAUUUCAAGUUCCACGGCCGUGAGUUCAAUUUUCAUUUGAUUGGAUAUUUAGUCUGGUUCUUGUAUUGUGAGCAUUCAGUAUGAAAUAGUGAUUAAAUUAUGAAAUUACAUUGUGAAACGAACAAUUUGAACAUACAAAAAGUGAAAUAGUUUUAAAAUGAUGAAUGGAAAAACAAGAACCAUAGUUAAAACAACAUAAAAGCACAAUGCAAAGCUAUGAAUUUAAGCCAACAAUGUCACAUUUAUGAGCAGCAAAACAAGAUCUAAAAGCAUGGAUCACACUCAGACUUCUCUCUUUGGUUGUUUGAUUGAUAUGUGACUCAAUAGAGCAUCAGAAAGAGCAGAAGUGGAUGUAAGAGAGGCUUUCAGUAUGCCCAAAGCCUGCACAAAAGAAGACAAAAUCAACAUGUAAACAUAUGCUCAAUCAUGCACAAAUAAACUCGAAGCAAACGAGAUAGUAUUUGCAUAUAGAAAAAAGAUUCAAACGAAUGGAAAAUCAAGAUACAUAACUUAAAAUAACAAUGAAGCACACAAUAACUAUUAAUAUAACAUAUAAGCCAAUAUUUGCAACAUAAAUAGGAAGAAUGGAUAUCACACUUCUCUCUUUGGCUGUUUGAUUGAUUUGCCACUCAGAAGAGCAUCAGUGAGAGCAGUAGUAGAAGCAAGAGAGGCUUUCAGUAUGCUGCAAGCCUGCACCAACACAUUUUAUCUCAACAUCUAAACAUAACUAAAUAUAACAACCAAGAUUUUAAAUGAAAGUUUACCUCUUUCAGCCCUAUUUGCAUCUCCACUUCUUUGACAUCAGAUAUCGAGAUUUUCUGCUGUUUAAGAGAUGAAAGUGAUGAGGCGAUGCAAAAAGGUGUAACGGUUAAAUCAUCAGCCACGUGAUAAGUUGGAGAUCCUUUAUGAUAACUUCCCUUCCCAUUGGGAAACUUAACAGAAGAAAAAUGGCUUCUAUCAUUGUAGUCAGCAGGCAAUCUUUCUUCAAUGAGAGGGAAAAUGUGGUCUUUCGAAAUAUAGCCAUGAGGUAGAAUGGGAGUCAUUAGCCUCUUUUUCGUAUCCGGGGUAAUGAAAUGCUUGCUAUCUAUAAGGUUGGAUGUGUUCCCGUACAAGUUGUCUAUAGCCUUAACACAGGUGUUACCGGCAAGAAGAUGCUCAACUCCUCCCAGUGGGAUGUAGAGGAAACUAAACAGAAACUCUACAAACUGUUUCUUAGCUUGAGCAUACAAAAACUUACCAGUAGAUUGUUGUAUCAUCACUUUCAAACUUAAAUUCCUAGAGUUAUUGGGAUUCUCUUCCUUUCGCAGUGUGUGGUUGAGACACCAUGAUGUAGAGUAAAUCUGAGUUGUUUUACUUAGGAUGAUGUCCGAUAAUGGAGUUGGGGACGUCAAGGAUGCCUUCAACAAAUUCAUAAUCUAACAGAAAUAGGGAUAACAAUUAAGGUAAAUUAAAGAAAAAUGAGUGGGAGGAAGAUUGAGAUUAUGGAAACAAGAAUCACCUCAUUGAAGCCCAAAUCCACCUUGAUUUGCUCGGCAUUAUCCAUGUCUGUAAUGCCAAGAAAGCUAAUGAUACCUAAGAGUCCUGUCUCAUUUGGAAAUAUGUGGAGAUCAUCAGAGAUUAUGAAAGAUGAUGUAUUCAUGGUGAAAACUCCAUCUCUAGAUGCAGCAGCUUCAGAUCCUUUCUUAACUACUUCUAUUUUCAUAGAACCAUCAUUUGAGCAAAAUUUGCACCUCUUGAUGUGAUCAUAGUAGAUGCUUACGCUACGAAACCGAGAGUGACUUAUGGGAUAAAUACUACAAUAUAAAUAUUUAGCAGGCUGAAAAUCAGUGAUGUCUAGUUUGAGCCUUUCGUAUUCAGCUUCGGAUGAACUUGUUGGAUCGAGCAGAGUCUGCUUAUUAGCCCCAUCUGUCCAGAAAUGGGCACUGUCGAGAUCAACUACGCUACGGUACAAACUGCUUAAGCUUCCAAUGGUAGGCGCCUCGUCUCCAUAGUGCUUCUCAAGGACUUUCACAAUUCUUCCCAACGGCAAACUCAAGAAGCUUAACAAAAUAUCUGCAAAAUGGCUGUCAGCUUCUGCGAAGAAUACCUUAGUUCUCUCUUUAUUGAUCAUCACUUUCAACGGAAAUGUAGCACCCUUUUUGUCAUCAGACAUUCUUGACAAUAUAAAUGUGGAACAAACAAAGGAAUUUUAGGAUAAUGUAAACGAAAGUAAAUCGAAAGAUUUCAGCAAGUCCUCUCUUUUGUGGGGGAAGAAGUUAACCGAAGAGUCGUUAAUUAGUCCAUCCAAAUUCCAAGACACUCUACAAAUUACAAGAAUCAUUAGAGAAAUUAACCAAGCGCCGCUAGUCCCACCAAAUUCCAAGACAUAAACUUGUUAAAUAGGUUUGAUUUAUUUAAUUUAUUUUUUAAAAUAAAAAUAAUUAUUAUUUUCCUUAUAUUGUUUUCAUUUUAUUUAUUUUUUUAGAAAUAAAAUAGAAAAGUGCAAAAAAUAGGUACAAUUAAUAUAGACAAUACAAUAAAUUAAUAAAAAGCUAUUUUUAAUUUUAAAAAUAAACAAAAUAAAUAAAUAAAAUUCCUAUUGAACUAAUUUGUGAGUGGUCCUAAUGUGAUUGCAUAUAUUUAUUGUUUGGUUAAUUUCCCGGUUUUAUUUACGAUUAAAAAAGUGAAGUAGAAGAAGUAUCUCUUCCAACUAAAUUACCGAUAUUGUGUGUAGGUGGAACACAAUUUAAAUUUGAAUAAGUUUCAUUUUAAAUGUAGGUUUACAAAUUUGAUGCAUGCAUGUGAUUUUCUUUAUAGGUGUAUUGAGUGAUGUCACACUAAUCUUUAUUCUUUUGAAUUUUUGAAUGAAUUAUAUAUAUAUAUGUGACAACAAUUUCAUAAAUAUUAGGAAUCAAAUGCAUCCCAUCUUGCUGCUUAAUUCCAAUUAGCUACUGACGUUUAAUUUGAUUUUGUAUCUCAUAAAGAGAGUGAAUGAGAGAGUCUUGGAAUUUGGUAGGACUAAUGAAUCUUAGGUUAACUCUUCGCCAUAAUUAAAAAGGGAGGGUAUGGUGUUAAGAAGGAUGUCAUGUCGUUGAAAGUGAUGAUAAAUAAUCAUAGUUAUGCUCUAUUGAUCUCUUUGAUGUUGCAUUGUUUAAAUCAUUUGAAGAUUCAAUAAAAGGUCUAUGACAUAAGCAUAAAUGCAAAAAAGUACAUAACAUUUCAAGAAAUUCAUGUUUAUAUUCCAAAAAUUAUUUCUGACAACCAAGAUAGUAUUUGCAUAUUGAAAAAAGACCAAACGAAUGGAAAAUCAAGAUCCAUAAUUAAAAUAAAAAUGAAGCACCAUAACUAUUAAUAUGGAGUAACAUAUAAUUAAGCCAAUACUUGCAACAUAUAUAUAGGAAGCAUGGAUCACACUUCUCUCUUUGGUCUGUUUGAGUGAUUUGCGAAUCAUCAGAGCAUCAGUGAGAGCAGUAGUAGAUGUAAGAGAGGCUUUCAGUAUGCUGCAAGCCUGCACCAACAAAAUUUAUUUCAGCAUCUAAACAUACAUUCAGAAAUAUAACAACCAAGAUUUCAAAUAUACAGUUUAAUCACCUCUUCAGCCCUAUUUGCAUCUCCACUUCUUUGACAUCAGAUAUCGAGAUUUUCUGCUCUUUAAGAGAGGAAAGUGUCGAGGAAAAGCAGAAAGGCGUAACAGUUAAAUCAUCCGCCACGUGAUAAGUUGGGGAUCCUUUUAGAUAACUUCCCUGCCCAUUGGGAAACUUAACCGAAGAUAACAAGUUCAGAUAAUCAUUGUACUCAGCAGGCAAGCAUUCUUCAGCGAGGGGGAAAAUGCAGUGUGCUGAAAUGUAGCCUGAGGUAGAAUGGGUGUCAUUAGCCUCUUUUUCGUAUCCGGGGUAAUGAAAUGCUUGCUAUCUAAGUCGGAUGUGUCGGUACAAGUUGUCUAUAGCCUUAACACAAGUGUUACCGGCAAGAAGAUGCUCAACUCCACCAAUGGGAUGUAGAGGAAACUAAACAGAAACUCCACAAACUGUUUAUUUGCUUGAGCAUACGCAACCUUACCAGUAGAUUGUUGUAUCAUCACUUUCAACUUAAAUUCCUCGAGUUGUUUGGAUUCUCUUCCUCUGUAGUGUGUGGUUGAGUCACCAUGAAUUUAGAGUAAAUCAGCUGUGUUGUUUUAUUUAGGAUGAUGUCCGACAAUGGAGUUGGG
RNAcentral lists this long non-coding RNA (28394 nucleotides) under Salvia miltiorrhiza (redroot sage). RNAcentral's name for it is "long non-coding RNA (SMIL_LNC005230)". The record is from RNAcentral. Lineage: Eukaryota; Viridiplantae; Streptophyta; Magnoliopsida; Lamiales; Lamiaceae.